Molecule: ribosomal RNA, 253 nt
Filed under: uncultured bacterium
Lineage: Bacteria
Description: partial 16S ribosomal RNA
Rfam family: Bacterial small subunit ribosomal RNA
Source: RNAcentral
UACGUAGGAGGCGAGCGUUGUCCGGAAUUACUGGGCGUAAAGGGCGCGUAGGCGGAUAGUUUAGUCAGAGGUGAAAGCCCAGGGCUCAACCUUGGAAUUGCCUUUGAUACUGGCUAUCUUGAGUUCGGGAGAGGUGAGUGGAAUGCCGAGUGUAGAGGUGAAAUUCGUAGAUAUUCGGAAGAACACCAGUGGCGAAGGCGACACACUGGCCCGUUACUGACGCUGAGGCGCGAAAGCGUGGGGAGCAAACAGG